This 447-nucleotide ribosomal RNA is filed under the name uncultured bacterium. RNAcentral describes it as "bacterial SSU rRNA". It matches the Rfam family "Bacterial small subunit ribosomal RNA", at positions 355 to 825 of the family's 1533-position model. The record is from RNAcentral.
UGGGGAAUCUUGGACAAUGGGCGCAAGCCUGAUCCAGCCAUGCCGCGUGAGUGACGAAGGCCUUAGGGUUGUAAAGCUCUUUUGGCGGGGACGAUAAUGACGGUACCCGCAGAAUAAGCCCCGGCUAACUUCGUGCCAGCAGCCGCGGUAAUACGAAGGGAGCUAGCGUUGUUCGGAAUCACUGGGCGUAAAGCGCACGUAGGUGGGCAGUUAAGUCAGGGGUGAAAGCCCGAGGCUCAACCUCGGAAUUGCCUCUGAUACUGGCUGUCUAGAGUUCGAGAGAGGUGAGUGGAAUUCCUAGUGUAGAGGUGAAAUUCGUAGAUAUUAGGAAGAACACCGGUGGCGAAGGCGGCUCACUGGCUCGAUACUGACACUGAGGUGCGAAAGCGUGGGGAGCAAACAGGAUUAGAUACCCCCGUAGUCCCUGAGCGGGCUGGCAAGGCGCAU